UACGUAGGGUGCAAGCGUUGUCCGGAAUUAUUGGGCGUAAAGAGCUCGUAGGCGGUUCGUCGCGUCGGCUGUGAAAUCCCGGAGCUCAACUCCGGGCCUGCAGUCGAUACGGGCGGACUUGAGUGUUGCAGGGGAGACUGGAAUUCCUGGUGUAGCGGUGAAAUGCGCAGAUAUCAGGAGGAACACCGGUGGCGAAGGCGGGUCUCUGGGCAACUACUGACGCUGAGGAGCGAAGGCGUGGGGAGCGAACAGG
This 253-nucleotide ribosomal RNA is filed under the name uncultured bacterium. RNAcentral's name for it is "partial 16S ribosomal RNA". It matches the Rfam family "Bacterial small subunit ribosomal RNA", at positions 524 to 776 of the family's 1533-position model. The record is from RNAcentral.